Molecule: long non-coding RNA, 764 nt
Filed under: Phasianus colchicus (ring-necked pheasant)
Lineage: Eukaryota; Metazoa; Chordata; Aves; Galliformes; Phasianidae
Description: lncRNA (ENSPCLG00000020477.1)
Source: RNAcentral
CAGAUCAUCCCUUAGUAUAAUAGUGGAAGUAGUUACUAACAAUGGUUAAGAAAACAAGACACCUCCAUCUCCCACUUGUCUAAUGGUAUCAUCAAUAACGUGAAGGAAUGAGAUUACAUAAAGGUGAGCCCCUCUUGCCUAGCACAAGCACUGUGCUCAACUGCUUCCCACAACUGAGCUGCAAUGCUGGAAGCUUCCAGGUACCCCAGCUGUGACAGCAGCCUGCUCUGCGCUCAUCUACAUGACUGAAAAACCAAGGUGCUGUGAGGGAUUCACAGGAUACAGGACUGGCCAUACAAGGCAGAACACCAGGAGCAUCAAUCUGAUGUUCACCUUGAGUCACUUCUGAAAACCAAGCCACCUCCAUACCUGCCAGCAGAAGUACCUGCUGCCUUUGUUCAUUGUCCUUCAGAGCAGAGGCAAGGAUUCACAUUCCUAUUGUUUCUUCUCCUCGCUGUGAAGUACGGCGUACAACUGCAGCACUAAAUCACUGUACUUGAGGGCUCAUUCUGUUCUUAAUAUGCAGAUCUUAUCAAAAUAUAUUAGUACCAUCAAGUAGAAAAUUGAUAUCUCUAUGUUUCUUCAGAUAGCACAUACCCUUUAUAACUCUGUAAGAGUUCUGCACCCUACAAUUUAUCAUAUAGUAUGCUAUAAUCAAAAACAUCAAUCUUUUUAAGGCUGUUGAAUGCCUAAUGCCUCAUUCACCAUCCUUAUUAACCAGAGGUUAGAAUAUAAACAUAAACUAAGUACAUAACAGUAAGAGC